GUCAAUUUUUAUGUUCUCCCCCAACCGACAGUGAGCUUCACGGUGACAUCUAUCCUAAUCUACACUGACUUUCACCCUACUUCGACCACAACCAGACUUUCAUAGUUAAUAGGGUGGUAAUUUUGCUGGUUUCGACAUUAUGUACAUGCAUGAGUUUAAUCACCCCUCCCUCCUCUUUUCCUUUUCAGUUAUGAGAUUAAAGUGAGGGAAUGACAAGAGAAGAUCAUGAACCAACGAAAAUUACAGAUGUGUUGAAAUUUGUUGUCAGAAUCUGUUUGAAUGAUGAACUUCAUGCAUACAAUUGUUGUGGUUGUCACAACUGGAAUCUAUUAAACAAAAUCAAAUACUUGAUAAUAACUACCUCUCCACACUGUUAUGUUUCUUGUUUUU
Long non-coding RNA from Cucumis sativus (cucumber), 390 nucleotides. RefSeq lists it as uncharacterized. The record is from RefSeq and is a predicted model, not a curated record. The transcript has 2 exons. NCBI's taxonomy places the organism in Eukaryota, Viridiplantae, Streptophyta, Magnoliopsida, Cucurbitales, Cucurbitaceae.